GAGGGUAUAACUCAGUGGUAGAGUGUGUACCUAGCAUGCAUCAAGGUCCUGGGUUCAAUCCCCAGUACUGCCA
Molecule: transfer RNA, 73 nt
Filed under: Camelus bactrianus (Bactrian camel)
Lineage: Eukaryota; Metazoa; Chordata; Mammalia; Artiodactyla; Camelidae
Also listed under: 3 other names
Rfam family: tRNA
About the family: Transfer RNA (tRNA) molecules are approximately 80 nucleotides in length. Their secondary structure includes four short double-helical elements and three loops (D, anti-codon, and T loops). Further hydrogen bonds mediate the characteristic L-shaped molecular structure. tRNAs have two regions of fundamental functional importance: the anti-codon, which is responsible for specific mRNA codon recognition, and the 3' end, to which the tRNAs corresponding amino acid is attached (by aminoacyl-tRNA synthetases). tRNAs cope with the degeneracy of the genetic code in two manners: having more than one tRNA (with a specific anti-codon) for a particular amino acid; and 'wobble' base-pairing, i.e. permitting non-standard base-pairing at the 3rd anti-codon position.
Source: Rfam by way of RNAcentral